RNAcentral lists this ribosomal RNA (1340 nucleotides) under Staphylococcus ureilyticus. Its description in RNAcentral is "partial 23S ribosomal RNA". It matches the Rfam family "Bacterial large subunit ribosomal RNA", at positions 1581 to 2925 of the family's 2925-position model. Lineage: Bacteria; Bacillati; Bacillota; Bacilli; Caryophanales; Staphylococcaceae. The record is from RNAcentral.
UUUCCUCGAGUCGUUGAUUUCACACUGCCGAGAAAAGCCUCUAGCUAGAUUUAUGGUGCCCGUACCGCAAACCGACACAGGUAGUCAAGAUGAGAAUUCUAAGGUGAGCGAGCGAACUCUCGUUAAGGAACUCGGCAAAAUGACCCCGUAACUUCGGGAGAAGGGGUGCUCUUUAGGGUUCACGCCCAGGAGAGCCGCAGUGAAUAGGCCCAAGCGACUGUUUAUCAAAAACACAGGUCUCUGCUAAACCGUAAGGUGAUGUAUAGGGGCUGACGCCUGCCCGGUGCUGGAAGGUUAAGAGGAGUGGUUAGCUUCUGCGAAGCUACGAAUCGAAGCCCCAGUAAACGGCGGCCGUAACUAUAACGGUCCUAAGGUAGCGAAAUUCCUUGUCGGGUAAGUUCCGACCCGCACGAAAGGCGUAACGAUUUGGGCACUGUCUCAACGAGAGACUCGGUGAAAUCAUAGUACCUGUGAAGAUGCAGGUUACCCGCGACAGGACGGAAAGACCCCGUGGAGCUUUACUGUAGUCUGAUAUUGAAAUUCGGUACAGCUUGUACAGGAUAGGUAGGAGCCUUAGAUACGUGAGCGCUAGCUUACGUGGAGGCGUUGGUGGGAUACUACCCUCGCUGUAUUGGAUUUCUAACCCGCACCAUUAAUCAUGGUGGGAGACAGUGUCAGAUGGACAGUUUGACUGGGGCGGUCGCCUCCUAAAGAGUAACGGAGGCGCUCAAAGGUUUCCUCAGAAUGGUUGGAAAUCAUUCAUAGAGUGUAAAGGCACAAGGAAGCUUGACUGCGAGACUUACAAGUCGAGCAGGGUCGAAAGACGGACUUAGUGAUCCGGUGGUUCCGCAUGGAAGGGCCAUCGCUCAACGGAUAAAAGCUACCCCGGGGAUAACAGGCUUAUCUCCCCCAAGAGUUCACAUCGACGGGGAGGUUUGGCACCUCGAUGUCGGCUCAUCGCAUCCUGGGGCUGUAGUCGGUCCCAAGGGUUGGGCUGUUCGCCCAUUAAAGCGGUACGCGAGCUGGGUUCAGAACGUCGUGAGACAGUUCGGUCCCUAUCCGUCGUGGGCGUAGGAAAUUUGAGAGGAGCUGUCCUUAGUACGAGAGGACCGGGAUGGACAUACCUCUGGUGUACCAGUUGUCGUGCCAACGGCAUCGCUGGGUAGCUAUGUAUGGACGGGAUAAGUGCUGAAAGCAUCUAAGCAUGAAGCCCCCCUCAAGAUGAGAUUUCCCAACUUCGGUUAUAAGAUCCCUCAAAGAUGAUGAGGUUAAUAGGUUCGAGGUGGAAGCAUAGCGAUAUGUGGAGCUGACGAAUACUAAUCGAUCGAAGACUUAAUCAA